AGGGGCAUAGCCCAGUGGUAGAGCACGUGCUUAGCAUGCAUGAGGGGGUGGGUUCAAUCCCCAGGUCCCUC
RNAcentral lists this transfer RNA (71 nucleotides) under Camelus dromedarius (Arabian camel). It matches the Rfam family "tRNA". From Rfam's summary of the family: Transfer RNA (tRNA) molecules are approximately 80 nucleotides in length. Their secondary structure includes four short double-helical elements and three loops (D, anti-codon, and T loops). The record is from Rfam by way of RNAcentral. RNAcentral also lists the same sequence under 1 other name. Lineage: Eukaryota; Metazoa; Chordata; Mammalia; Artiodactyla; Camelidae.